GCAGGCGUAGUUCAGUGGUAGAACUUCAGCUUCCCAAGCUGACCAUGCGGGUUCGAUUCCCGUCGCUUGCUCCA
RNAcentral lists this transfer RNA (74 nucleotides) under Clostridiales bacterium. Its description in RNAcentral is "tRNA-Gly". It matches the Rfam family "tRNA". From Rfam's summary of the family: Transfer RNA (tRNA) molecules are approximately 80 nucleotides in length. The record is from RNAcentral. Lineage: Bacteria; Bacillati; Bacillota; Clostridia; Eubacteriales.